Molecule: long non-coding RNA, 291 nt
Organism: Peromyscus eremicus (cactus mouse)
Lineage: Eukaryota; Metazoa; Chordata; Mammalia; Rodentia; Cricetidae
Exons: 3
Source: RefSeq, a predicted model, not a curated record
AGUUUCUCUUCAUCUGAGAACACGGCUCAUAUGUGGCUGCUUCUGGAGUUAAGGAGUUCUCUGAACCCAGAGUGAAAGGAUUUGCUGGGGACACUCCAUUUAGGCCUGAGUGUUCCAAGGUCUGUUACUCUCUGCAUAUUGCCCAGCUAUAGGUCUUUUACCCAUCACGGGAAGAAGCUUCUCUAAUGAUGGCCGAGCAAGACACUGAUCUGUAAUCUUUGAGCAACUCUAGCUCUGGCCAAAACCUAUCAGAGUUGAUCAACCCUCAGCAGGAUGACUCAGUCAUGGUAG